This is a long non-coding RNA of Gasterosteus aculeatus aculeatus (three-spined stickleback), 1913 nucleotides long. Lineage: Eukaryota; Metazoa; Chordata; Actinopteri; Perciformes; Gasterosteidae. The record is from Ensembl.
CUCCCAAGAGUAACUUUUUAGAGGGCACGGACAAACACCAUAAAAUUUAUGAGGCGUUGCUGAGGUAGAUGUUUUAAAGUGUUGGAUUUUCCAGAUGCAUGAUGCCUCUUGCCUUAAAGUUAAAUUACCUGCGUGGCCACGAGGAAACUGAUGAAAGUCAGGUGUUUAAUUAUUUGAUCAAAAUGAGUAGAUUAGGUUUAGCAUUGAACUUCACAAACUAGCGAGGGUUGAUUAAAGACACUUCUUUUGUGUGGAGGAGAGAGGACCCAAACGCAAGAGCAGGUAAAGUCUGUUUUAAUCAACUUAGAAUGUCCAAAAACAAAAUGGCACUAAAGGCUUAAGAGGAGAGGUGCGGGCGCUUGGCCGGCGACGGGGAAUCCCAGAGAGUGCAGGGAACGAGCUCCAGGGCGAGGGUAGAGCACUCCAGACAGCAGGCCGCCCACGUCAAACCGGAGGCUGGGUGGAACAGAGGUUUGGACUCGGGCCACACCGUAAGGCGCGAACCGUACCGGACACGACAAGGCCGGAGAAACAAGACUACAGGUACGUCGGGUGCAUAGUCAAUACUCUGGCAGAGAACAAGGAGAAGAGGCAGGCUAGAAAUAGAGAGUCUAAUUGCAGAAGGUAGGAACAGGUGAGGGGAAGAGAGGAUGACGAGAUGAGAAGCAGCUGGGAAUGAAUGAGCAGGUCUAAGUGUGUGUGUGUGUGUGUGUGUGAAGAAAGAGUUGGAAAGGAGAGCAGGAUAUAAUGUUCAUGACAACUUCAGGUUUUAAUUUACUUCUUUUGUUAAUUAAUCAGCACAGUCUGCUUACUUUCUAUUGGGAUUUUUUCAUUGUUGUCAUUAACACAAACAACAAAUACAAUUAGACACUGUUUAAAAAACACAUUUACUCAAAGAACUAUUUGAACUUCUAAACUAUUUUUAAUUCAAAGGAAGAUUUCUGAUUCCAGUUCUGUCUCAACUAGUAUGAAUUCAUUACUUCACAUUUCUAUAUGGAUUUAGCUUAUUCUUUCCAUCCUGUUAAGUAAUUAUCUGCGCUAUUAGGUUUGAAUUUGUGUUUUGGAAUCUCUCAUCUAGCUCCUUUUUGUAUUAUGACUAUUAACUAAAGUGAAUUUAUUUAUGUGUUUUUAAAUACGUAAUAUUACACAUCCUGAUCUCUUCAAGUGAAUCUUUUAAGGGCGGUUAUAGCAGAGAGUUGGUGCAACGUAUACAUUGUUUGAAUGGAUAAUUGUAAUGUUGGGUCCAAUACCAAAAAGACACACACACACCAAAAAUCCACCAUUUUGUAGUGAAUCUUGGGGGGUUGAGAUGUUUUUUCAAACGGGCAUCGUGACAACAGCCUGCCACAGAGUUUGGGUCAUCAGUGUAGUCGUUAAGCAGGCCGUAAUGGGCCGUGCGAGGCUGUUCUGCUCUGGCGCCGGGCCGGCUGACCUGUGGAUCACACCAACAUUAUCGGCCGACGGAUCGCACCAUUAUGCCCUUGAUGGAGGGGAACUGUGGAUGUGUCUGGAGGAGAUCGAAAAUGCGUUCCCAGUGUGCUGCCAAUCUGCAGACACGCCACAGGCAGAAGCACUAAAGGUCACAGCUGUCUGCGAUGCAGCAGAGACUAUCGAACGUGAGGGAAGAGAACCAAACAACGAUGAUUUGUCAUUCCGGGUGACUUCCUUACAAAAUGCAAUGCUUCUGUUGUCUAGAUGACUAAUAAGGCAGUUUUAAAAUAAAAAUAGAAACUCCAAUGAUACAACAUUGUCUUGUGAAAUGAAAUAAAUAAUCAACCCUGACCUGCGGCGUUGUUGUAUUCCAGCAUUCUAUGUCUGCCAAUUAUUCAUUUACUCUAUCCACAUGAAAAGGUUUUUCAUGUUUUAGAUUAAUCAAAAUGAAUGCAGAAAACUUUCUUCAAUGAUGAUGAACC